GUAGGAGGCGAGCGUUAUCCGGAUUUACUGGGCGUAAAGCGUGUGCAGGCGGGUUUGGUAAGUCGGACGUGAAAGCUCCUGGGCUCAACUAGGAGAGGCCGUUCGAUACUGCCAGACUAGAGGGCAGCAGAGGGAGGUGGAAUUCCAGGUGUAGCGGUGAAAUGCGUAGAUAUCUGGAGGAACACCAGUGGCGAAAGCGGCCUCCUGGACUGUCCCUGACGCUAAGACACGAAAGCUAGGGGAGCAAACGGGAUUAGAAACCCCGGUAGUCCUAGCCGUAAACGAUGCAGACUUGUGUUGGUGGUGUAAAAAUCAUCAGUGCCGUAGCUAACGCGAUAAGUCUGCCGCCUGGGGACUACGACCGCAAGGUUA
Molecule: ribosomal RNA, 372 nt
Filed under: uncultured organism
Description: partial 16S ribosomal RNA
Rfam family: Bacterial small subunit ribosomal RNA
Source: RNAcentral